UACGUAGGGUGCAAGCGUUGUCCGGAAUUAUUGGGCGUAAAGAGCUCGUAGGCGGUCUGUCGCGUCGGCUGUGAAAACCUGGGGCUCAACUCCGGGCCUGCAGCCGAUACGGGCUGACUAGAAUUCGGUAGGGGAGACUGGAAUUCCUGGUGUAGCGGUGAAAUGCGCAGAUAUCAGGAGGAACACCGGUGGCGAAGGCGGGUCUCUGGGCUGACACUGACGCUCAUGCACGAAAGCGUGGGGAGCAAACAGG
Molecule: ribosomal RNA, 253 nt
Filed under: uncultured bacterium
Lineage: Bacteria
Description: partial 16S ribosomal RNA
Rfam family: Bacterial small subunit ribosomal RNA
Source: RNAcentral